Molecule: ribosomal RNA, 803 nt
Filed under: uncultured bacterium
Lineage: Bacteria
Description: bacterial SSU rRNA
Rfam family: Bacterial small subunit ribosomal RNA
Source: RNAcentral
CUGCAAGUCGAACGGUAACAGGAAGCACUUGCUGCUUCGCUGACGAGUGGCGGACGGGUGAGUAAUGUCUGGGAAACUGCCUGAUGGAGGGGGAUAACUACUGGAAACGGUAGCUAAUACCGCAUAACGUCGCAAGACCAAAGAGGGGGACCUUCGGGCCUCUUGCCAUCGGAUGUGCCCAGAUGGGAUUAGCUAGUAGGUGGGGUAACGGCUCACCUAGGCGACGAUCCCUAGCUGGUCUGAGAGGAUGACCAGCCACACUGGAACUGAGACACGGUCCAGACUCCUACGGGAGGCAGCAGUGGGGAAUAUUGCACAAUGGGCGCAAGCCUGAUGCAGCCAUGCCGCGUGUAUGAAGAAGGCCUUCGGGUUGUAAAGUACUUUCAGCGGGGAGGAAGGCGAUAAGGUUAAUAACCUUGUCGAUUGACGUUACCCGCAGAAGAAGCACCGGCUAACUCCGUGCCAGCAGCCGCGGUAAUACGGAGGGUGCAAGCGUUAAUCGGAAUUACUGGGCGUAAAGCGCACGCAGGCGGUCUGUCAAGUCGGAUGUGAAAUCCCCGGGCUCAACCUGGGAACUGCAUUCGAAACUGGCAGGCUAGAGUCUUGUAGAGGGGGGUAGAAUUCCAGGUGUAGCGGUGAAAUGCGUAGAGAUCUGGAGGAAUACCGGUGGCGAAGGCGGCCCCCUGGACAAAGACUGACGCUCAGGUGCGAAAGCGUGGGGAAGCAAACAGGAUUAGAUACCCUGGUAGUCCACGCCCGUAAACGAUGUCNACUUUGGAAGGUUGUGCCCUUGAAGCCGUGGG